Non-coding RNA from Pelobates cultripes (western spadefoot toad), 223 nucleotides. NCBI's taxonomy places the organism in Eukaryota, Metazoa, Chordata, Amphibia, Anura, Pelobatidae. The record is from the annotation of a GenBank genome assembly.
GGUAGACUGGACUAACAACGGAUUAAUUGCUGCUUUUAAAAAAGGAUUAUCCGAGAAUAUACUUGACGAAAUUGCUGCCAAAGAUCUACCGAAAAUAUUAAACAAAUGUAUUACCUUUGUGAUGAAGAUUGAUAAUAGACUUAGGACCAGAGAAAUUACUAGAAGCCGAACCAGACGUAUGACCUUGUCACUAGCAUCUCGAUUCUCCAAACCUGUUGUCCCU